Molecule: non-coding RNA, 611 nt
Organism: Pocillopora verrucosa
Lineage: Eukaryota; Metazoa; Cnidaria; Anthozoa; Scleractinia; Pocilloporidae
Source: RefSeq, a predicted model, not a curated record
GCUAAAAAUCAGCCUCAGCGGCUGGGAGACUUGGCUGCUUUAGCUGUGUUUGGACAAGGACUACAUAUUAAGAAACGCGAUUUACCGCCGGUGAUUAAAAAUAUUCUAGAAAGUUAUACUCGCUGUGACUGUUGUGACGGUCCAAUGUUUGGUCGCGGAGUAAGGGUAAUCAAAGCCCCGUCCUCCAUCUUUGGCGUUAAAAAUCUUCCAUUUCUCUUCAACGCCUGUACACAGACUUGUAGGCGGCAGUUCAGUAGAGCUUCUGACUCGCUUAAACUCUGGAUGCAAAGGAACGCACCGCAUACUUUAACAGAGUUAUAGAAAUAAGACUUCGAGCCAAAUGCGUCCAUAAGAAAUACUGUGAUUAAUUAUAUAUGUGACGAGUUAGGUGGAUUCACAAAGUGAAGAUCUUUCUCUGGUGAAGUUGCAUAUUGGCUGCGAUAUAUUUUCAUGGACAAAAAGUUGAGUUACAACGUAAGCAAAUAUUGACGGACCUUCUGAAGGACCAACGUCACCAGUUUUCCAUCAUGGAAAAUUAAGCUAAAUCCGUCUUAAUCUUCUCCAACUUCAACCAUCCUUGUUUCUGUUUUAAUUAAGCUUCCCAUCUGGUA